RNAcentral lists this long non-coding RNA (637 nucleotides) under Brachypodium distachyon (stiff brome). Its description in RNAcentral is "long non-coding RNA (BDIS_LNC001118)". Lineage: Eukaryota; Viridiplantae; Streptophyta; Magnoliopsida; Poales; Poaceae. The record is from RNAcentral.
UCAUACAUGGAGCAAAAUACCAAGUUAUUACAACUCACGGACACAGGUCCACAAUCAUCAUUACACCAACGGAAGCAAAUUAUGCCCGAGUGCGGACAAGUUACAAAUAUUGCCUAAGAGGCUGAAACUGAAAAGGAGAGCCGCCACAAGUUCUCAGAACCUUGCUCUGGAAUCUUCUGGCUAAACAUCGAAGCUGUAGUCGUCGAACUCCACGAAGUAACCACUCACCUGUUCCUCCGGAAACUCUGGGGAAAACAACGUUGCAAAGCAACUGAGUACAAAGUACUCGCAAGACUUACGGGAGAUCUAUACUAGACAUGCAACAAGUCUCAAGGAUGGGUAAAAGGUGGUUAUGCAGCAGCGAUAUAUAUCUGGAGAGACACACUAAUGACAUCGUCUAGAUAGAAGAUAAGGAGCGUCUACCAAGUGAGGUGAUUAACCUAUUUACUAAACACCAAACAACACAAUCCUCAUAUCACCCCCUCAACACCCUGUGAAGAAGCAAUCCAAAGGACACUCACACUCAAGUAGUUUAAGCAUAUCCAUGAUUAAGGCUAAUUACUACUCAAGUUUUAAGAGAUUAAGUUAAUUAACUGGUAUGAGUUCUCUAUGAUCAAGUAAUGACCAACCAAGUCGU